This 123-nucleotide transfer RNA is filed under the name Vibrio sp. MED222. RNAcentral describes it as "tRNA-Phe". The record is from RNAcentral. Lineage: Bacteria; Pseudomonadati; Pseudomonadota; Gammaproteobacteria; Vibrionales; Vibrionaceae.
UUGGUGGACGUUUAGAUAAGCACGAAUUGUACGGUGAAGUCGUGUUUAUCUAGUUCACCAAACAACGAAUGACCUCAUUAUCAAAGGCGGCGUGGGUAAGGCGUUUAAAGCGCCUUCGUUGAC